AUGCAUUCCACCAUAUACUCAACAAACAAUAUUGAACACCUACUAUGUUCUGGGUGUGUGGCAGGCUCUAGGGAUAUAAUAAUGAAGCCACAGUCCCUGUUGUCGCAGGCACUCAAGCUCAGAGAGAGAAAAAGGAAGAGAAUGAGAAACAGUGUUUGCCAAAUAGUCCUCCAAAAAUGUGUCACAGUACUCUGUGAAGGGCUUGAGAAUGAAUGUUUUCCACAUCCUCAUUGGCUCUGUCAUCAAAGGUGUCCCAUUUCUGGUCUGGAAACUCUGAGAACAAGGAGCAGCAUAUACAUCUCUGUACUUUUUCAAGGCAAGGAUCGUAUCUCAGACAAGUUCCCAAGCCUGAUGCCCAGUGCAGUAAGUGAUUCCUAUUUAAAUGAGAAACACAUUGUCACUUUAUAGAAGUAACCAAUGAUAAAUAUUAAAUGAGCACCUUCUGGACCAAAGGGCCUGUUUUCUCUUAAUCAACUUUUAAGUUAAUGUAAAACCAGCUGUUAUUUUUUGUGUGUUUCUGUAUUCAGCUUGCAUUAGUGUUAUUCUGUGACAGAUGCUUUGAGAAAUGAAAGAGAACGAGUGGUCCUUGCCUAUAAAAAUCUUCUACUCUGUCUUAAAAGAAAGUAGAUGAAAUGCAUUCUCCUUUCUAAUCUUUGGAAAUGGCACCUAGCUGUGUUCUUAGAUAAAUAAUGUAUUUUUUCAAAAAAUGAAUAAAUGAAUAAAAGUAAGAAUCA
RNAcentral lists this long non-coding RNA (734 nucleotides) under Sus scrofa (pig). RNAcentral describes it as "lncRNA (ENSSSCG00025036662.1)". The record is from RNAcentral. Lineage: Eukaryota; Metazoa; Chordata; Mammalia; Artiodactyla; Suidae.